This 2075-nucleotide long non-coding RNA is filed under the name Helianthus annuus (common sunflower). RNAcentral describes it as "hypothetical non coding rna". Lineage: Eukaryota; Viridiplantae; Streptophyta; Magnoliopsida; Asterales; Asteraceae. The record is from RNAcentral.
UUUUCUUUUCUUCUUCUCUCUAUACGUUGGUUUUCUAACCAAUAAUCACCGAUUCGAUAUUCUAUCCGAUUGAUUCAGGAACCAACUAACGAAUGCCAAAGUGUUGUACUUUGUGAAUUUCGUUAAACGAAUGCCAAAGUACUGUCUAAACAAGACUAUACUUUGUGCAUUUUGUUAAGGUUCGAAUCUCGUGACCAUCGUUAGGUUUGAUUAGGUUUAACACUAAUACGUAUUCCAUUCUGUUAAACUAAAUGUUUAACUACUCGAAACUCUACACCAUACACUUAGAAAUCAAAAUGGAUGCUUAAUCAUCAGAAGAUUCAUAACUAUAAGUAGAUGUGUAAUCAUCGGAAGACUUAGAAUCAAGACUAUAUGCUAACAAGGGAUCAAGUCUUUGUAGUCUUCAAUUACAGCCGAUAUGUGGGGUUUUGUAUACAUUACUUGAUAACCAUCACCAUUGGACAACGGGUUAGCCAAUGGGUGAUAUGACCAUAGUCACAGAAACGAGUCGAGUGACAAAUACCUUUGGGUAAUUGGUUGAUAUAUAAACAUUGUAAUCGCUCUUAAUACUGUGAAUUAUAACAAAUAUGUUUUUGUACAAAAAUGAAUGAACUCACCAAUAUUUCCUGCUGACCAAAUGUUUUUAAAACGCAUUUCAGGUGAUUAUAGUAGAUUGGAAUAAGAGGGAUGAUACUGCACAGAAAGGCUUAAAGAAGUGGCUUAUUUUAUCAAUUAAAUUAAGAAAACAUGAUUUCAUAUAUUUGGGUUUAUCCCUUAUUAAAGCUACCUUUGUAAAACAUGGGUUUUAUCCCAUCUAUUUAAAUAAAUGAAAUCCGGUGUUUUCUAAACUCUGAUAUUUUUCCUAACUCACGGUCCUGAUGAACAUUUCCGCUGCAAUGUUUUUAAAAUAACCACCGGUACCACAUGACUGCUCGCGGCUCCCGUCCAGGGUGGUAUCAGAGCCACUUAUUUAAGCAAUUGGGUGUUGUAAUAAUACCUAAGCUUAAACGAAAGAGUUAGGAAAUUGUUAUUAACUGGUAGCAACAGGAUAGAAUUUAGACUUGAACUUAAGAAAGAUGCCUUAGUAUAAGCUUCGAGAUAAGCUAAUUACUUGCGUAGAUAAAAUGUGAUGGGUGAUUAGUAUGCCGUGAGGAUGAUGACUAGAAUGUUGCAAGUAUGGUAAAUAAGCGAUAACACUUGGCCACUGUUAUUUCUUGUUUAUUGGUACUACUGGAUUCUAGAAUAUGAUCCAUCAUGUGAAUAAUAAUUACCUUGUUCUUUGAUAAAAGCUCUAAUAAAAGAUUCAUUUUUAAUCAUCAAGAUUCUAUUUAUGGGAAAUACAAAUUACCUCUCCGGCGAGAACCGGGUAAGAUGCGUAUAGAAUAUGUCAAACAAGUGACAGAAUUCCCUAAUAGUAUCAUGACCUGAUGUCUGACUUGUCUUUGGAAAUAUGAAUCUGUUAAAUACAUUGACCUUAUGAAUGGUAUGUAUAUUACAUUAUGUGAAAUAUAUGAUUAUAUAGAUAUCUAUAAGGAAAUCCAAAACCAUAAGGAUUGACAAUUUAGAAUAAAGCACAAGCAUAUGUGUCAAUAAUAAUUAUAGAUUUCUUUAUCAGGAAUCUCUCGUAUACAUCUAUAAUUCCGAUAUCGAACAUUAUUUCGUUUGAUCAUCUGUCUCUUAAACUCGUGCUACAAGAAGUAUAUGAACCCUUUAUAUUGGGAUGCCAUCGAAAGUAUAAGAAUUCCCUUUGCGUUACCUUAGAUCAUUAACACAUUAGGAAACCUGUAGAUAAAGUUGUGCUAGGCACAAGACGUCUUAAAACUUACGCUAAUAAGAGUAAUUCUACUUUCUUUAAGAACUCUUGCAAAGAUAAGAGUAACCACGACUAGAUGCACUUACAAAGACUUUCUUCACCUAUAAUCCUACUAAGAUUACCAGAAGCUGUUACGAAAUACCUGGGCUGCAAAGGACUAAAGUUGUCUUAACCAUUAGUAUAAUGAAGUAAUGUAUGCUUCAAAAUUUAGACAUUUAGAUAGUGAAACCCGAUCUUCGAAACACAGGAUCAAGACAUAUGC